RNAcentral lists this ribosomal RNA (202 nucleotides) under Penstemon centranthifolius. RNAcentral's name for it is "5.8S ribosomal RNA". The stretch from base 44 to 199 matches the Rfam family "5.8S ribosomal RNA". From Rfam's summary of the family: 5.8S ribosomal RNA (5.8S rRNA) is a component of the large subunit of the eukaryotic ribosome. It is transcribed by RNA polymerase I as part of the 45S precursor that also contains 18S and 28S rRNA. The record is from RNAcentral. Lineage: Eukaryota; Viridiplantae; Streptophyta; Magnoliopsida; Lamiales; Plantaginaceae.
GCGGUGCGCGUCGGAGGACCCGGUGUAUCUUGAAUGUCAAAACGACUCUCGGCAACGGAUAUCUCGGCUCUCGCAUCGAUGAAGAACGUAGCGAAAUGCGAUACUUGGUGUUAAUUGCAGAAUCCCGUGAACCAUCGAGUCUUUGAACGCAAGUUGCGCCCGAAGCCAUUAGGCCGAGGGCACGUCUGCCUGGGCGUCACGC